CCUACGGGAGGCAGCAGUGAGGAAUAUUGGUCAAUGGACGCGAGCCUGAACCAGCCAUGUCGCGUGCAGGAUGACUGCCCUACGGGUUGUAAACUUCUUUUAUAAAAGAGUAAAGUGAGACACGUGUGCCUUUUUGUAUGUACUUUAUGAAUAAGGAUCGGCUAACUCCGUGCCAGCAGCCGCGGUAAUACGGAGGAUCCGAGCGUUAUCCGGAUUUAUUGGGUUUAAAGGGAGCGUAGAUGGGUUGUUAAGUCAGUUGUGAAAGUUUGCGGCUCAACCGUAAAAUUGCAAUUGAUACUGGCAGUCUUGAGUAUAGUUGAGGUAGGCGGAAUGCGUGGUGUAGCGGUGAAAUGCUUAGAUAUCAUGAAGAACACCGAUUGCGAAGGCAGCUUACUAAACUGCCACUGACAUUGAUGCUCGAAAGUGUGGGGAUCAAACAGGAUUAGAUACCCGAGUAGUC
RNAcentral lists this ribosomal RNA (460 nucleotides) under uncultured bacterium. Its description in RNAcentral is "partial 16S ribosomal RNA". It matches the Rfam family "Bacterial small subunit ribosomal RNA", at positions 338 to 795 of the family's 1533-position model. The record is from RNAcentral.